UACAGAGACUGCAAGCGUUAUUCGGAUUCACUGGGCGUAAAGGGUGCGCAGGCGGUUGGGUGUGUCAGGUGUGAAAUCCCGAGGCUCAACCUCGGAACUGCGUCUGAAACUACUCGACUAGAGUACUGGAGAGGGAACUGGAAUUUACGGUGUAGCAGUGAAAUGCGUAGAGAUCGUAAGGAAGGCCAGUGGCGAAGGCGAGUUCCUGGACAGUUACUGACGCUGAGGCACGAAGGCCAGGGGAGCAAACGGG
This 253-nucleotide ribosomal RNA is filed under the name uncultured bacterium. Its description in RNAcentral is "partial 16S ribosomal RNA". It matches the Rfam family "Bacterial small subunit ribosomal RNA", at positions 524 to 776 of the family's 1533-position model. The record is from RNAcentral.